Molecule: small nuclear RNA, 174 nt
Organism: Diabrotica virgifera virgifera (western corn rootworm)
Lineage: Eukaryota; Metazoa; Arthropoda; Insecta; Coleoptera; Chrysomelidae
Product: U4 spliceosomal RNA
Exons: 1
Source: RefSeq, a predicted model, not a curated record
AGCUUUGCGCAGUGGCGAUAUCGUAACCAAUGAGGUUUUUCCGAGGUGCGAUUAUUGCUAGUUGAAAACUUCUAUACACAAAUAGAAUAAAAAAGAAAUGAAGCAUUACUUGGGUCACUAGCACCAGUGAAAAGGAAUGGUUUUACAAAUAUUGCGUUUUUUUUUCUAAUGAAA